GCUUUCGUGGUGCAGCGGUAGCACACUCGGUGUGUAUUCCAGAGGUUCAGGUUCGAGUCCCGGCGAAGGCA
Molecule: transfer RNA, 71 nt
Filed under: Stegodyphus mimosarum
Lineage: Eukaryota; Metazoa; Arthropoda; Arachnida; Araneae; Eresidae
Rfam family: tRNA
About the family: Transfer RNA (tRNA) molecules are approximately 80 nucleotides in length. Their secondary structure includes four short double-helical elements and three loops (D, anti-codon, and T loops).
Source: Rfam by way of RNAcentral